Molecule: long non-coding RNA, 2943 nt
Organism: Passer domesticus (house sparrow)
Lineage: Eukaryota; Metazoa; Chordata; Aves; Passeriformes; Passeridae
Exons: 3
Source: RefSeq, a predicted model, not a curated record
AGCUGCUCCUGGCCAGAGCUGUCUCUCUGCAGCGCUGCCCUUGCCACGAGCUGCCUCUGUGCCAAGAGCCGGCCCAGCUCAGCAGCACAGACACAGCACAAGGACUUCUCUUGUGGGUUGGGUGCUAAAUCCCUGAACAUCAGUCCCUGAGAGGGAGCUGAAAAAACCUCUCAAGAGCUGAAAGUCACAAUCCAACUCCAAAGUUUCUUCAAGUUUUAAUAGGUCCCACUGAGGGACACAACUGAGAAAGUGUCCCCAGGUUCCAGUUAGAGCAGAACACCGGAGGCACUGAUGACAGGAUCCACCAUCUCUGAAACUGCCCUUCAAUCCCGCCCAGGGCUCUCAUCUGCUGUCCUCAGUCUCCACCCCACUGAGCACAGAGCUCCUUUGUCCCGAUGCAGAGCGAGUCAGCAGAGGCCAAGGCAAGCCAGACCUGUCUGUCCUUGCAACCCUUGGAUAUGUGGGGAGUUUUGGAGGUGGAAUUCCAUUGCAGCCAUGGGUUCCUGGACCAGAAGGACAGUUCUUCUCCACAGGAAGGAAAGGGCAGUGCCCCAGCAUUUCAAAGGCUGAUUAAAAGCAGUCCCAAGGAGGCCAAGGCCAGCCAGACCUGUUUGUCUUGGCAGCUUUUGUCUGGGAGCAAUCCUUGGAUAGAGGGAAUUUGGGAAGCCUAACCCCACUUUUGUCCAUGGGCACAUGGACAAGAAGGACAGUUCUCUUCCAUAGGAAGGAAAGUACAGAGCCCCAGUGUUUCACAGGCAGAUGAGAGCUGGCCCUCAGGAAGCCAAAGGAACCUAGACAGUCCUGGCAGAUUUUGUCUGGGAGCUGUCCUUGGAUAUAGGGAGUUUUGGAGGCAGAUUCCCAAUUGUGGCCAUAGACACCUGGACUUCAAAGAUGCUUUUUACAAUGGAAAGAAAAGCACAUCCCUCCAGUGUUUUGAAGGCAGGUAAGAGGUGGCCCCCAAGAUGCCAAGGCCAUCCAGAGCUGUCUUUGCUGGCAGGUUUCCAAUGGGAACAAUCUUUGGAUAUAAUCAGAUAUAGAGGUAGAUUCCCAAUUUCCGCCAUGAACCCCUGGAGGAGAGGGAGAGUUCUUUCCCACUGGAAGGAAAGCACAGAACUCCGGAGUUUUAGGGGCAGAUGAGAAGCAACCCUCAACAUGCCAUCUCAGCUGGACCAGUCAGGCCCAGCCAACCAGACCUGUUCCAUGUUCUUGGAUCCUUGGGGCCCUGCAACAUCACAAUUGCCCUUUGGUUCCACGAGUCCCCAUAGUAUCACAAGAGAUCUUUGUUUCCAUGAGGCCCAGUGAUAUCACAAUGGUCUCCUUGGCUCUGCAGUGCCACAAUGGCCCCUUGCUUCCAUGAGGCCUUGCAGUGUCAAAAUGGUUUUCCUUGGUUCCAUGGGACUGUGCAGAGUGCCACAAUGGUCCCUUGGUUCUGUUGGGCUCCCCAGGAUCACAAUGGCCCCUUGGUUCCACAAGGCCUGGCUGUGGCACACUGGCCCCUUGCUUCCAUGGGGACCCAUAGUGUCACAAUGGCCCCUUGGUGCCAUGGGGACCUAGAAUGCCAGAAUGGUCUCAUUGCUUCCAGGAGGCCCUGCAGUGUCACAGAGAGCUCCUUGGUUCCAUAAAGCCCUGCAAACCCCUUGAUUCAACACGGCCUCAAAGUGUCAGAAUGGUCUCCAGGAUUCUAGGAGUUCCUGCAGUGUCACAAGGGCACCUUGCUUCCAUGAGGCCCUGAAAUAUGGAAUGGCCCCUUGAUUCCAUUGGGCUCCUCACUGUUACAUGAGUUUUUAGUUACAUGGAGGCCUGUAGUGUCACAAUGGCCCUUGGUUCCAAAGGGUCCCAAACUGUUGUAAUAUUCUCCAUGAGGUUCCGUGAGGUCUCACAAUGUCACAAUGGACUUUUGGUUCCAUGAGCUUUCAUAAUGCUCAACAGCAGUCUCCUUGGUUCUGCAGUUUUAUAACUGACCCGUGGUUCCAUGAGGUGCCUCGCCUCCCACAGCUUCUCAGGGACCCUUUUCCCCAUCAAGAUUCUUUCAGUCAUCUUCUGAGAGGUCCAGCUUGUUCUGGUGAUUUCCAUGAACUGAUUGUACUUGUGAUUUAUAGCAAUGUAUGAGAUGUAGAAGCAUCUGAGCUGAACACAGAAAGAAACAAACUCCCUGUCAGCCCAUUUUCAUCUUCCAGAUCACUUUCAAGAUGUCCAUGGGGAUGUUGGAAUGAUUAUCACACGGCUCUCCAUUUCUGGCUGCAGGCUCUGGAGAUUCUUUUUGUGCAUUCAGUCAAGCUUGCAUUCCCUAACAAUUCCUGGUAGCCCGUCAUGUUUUCUUAAGGUAGAACAGUAACAAUGAAAACAUUACCAAUGACACAACUGCCCAGCCCACAAGGGAAAGAAAGAAGAAGUUGUUAAGUUUUUAAAUAUUUGUCUUGCUUUGCUGCAAGAGUUGUGCUGCACGCACGGCGGGGAAAGCCAAGAGAAGCUGCAGUUGGUGGCGCAUCUUGUGACAGAAGCUGCUCCUCGUUCUCCAGGAAAAGGUUCUUGGAAAGAGCAAACAGGACUGUGGAGAAGAUUCUGGGAAAAGUGAAACAGCUUUUAAGAAUUGAAAUAAGAAUGGAAAGAAACAAUCCAAGAUGUUUUAUUUAUUUUUAUGCUCCCCUUUUCCAUCUUGCACUACUUCUCCUUCCCAUUAAUUCCAAAUGGAUCUUACUUCUAAGAUCCAUGACUUGGCAAGUUUUAGACACUCUAAAAUACCAUGAUCUACACACUGUUUUCCUUCCCCUGUAUUUUUUAGAAAGCAAUGCUGGAGAGGUAAGUGCAGUGCUUGGGUCAGGUACAAAUUCUGCAUUCAGGGAAUGUGCUCUGGUAGUGUUUGACCCUCAGCAGGGACAAUACACAGCAGCGACCGAGGGGAUUCCUGUGCCCCUGUGCAGGAGUACAGACUCUGAGUCUUGG